AACAGGACAAGAAGCUCACAGCUCAGAGAAGGUUUUCUUGCUUCAGCCUAAAUCAGUGAAAUAAGAAGUCUUAUCCACAAUGAAGAUCUACUUCUUGUCUCUUCUGUUGGUGGCGGUAGCCUGCUAUUUCCACGUCGAGGCAUUGCCAUCUCCCGAACCAGCAGACGUAGCCAAAGUGCCCUCGUCCGUGGCCGACCCAGCUUCAACGAAAAUUACCAUCGAUCCAAACCGAUGCUGCAACUGCUCUAGUGCUAAAAACAGGCUUGGAGUCUCAGUUCAUUGUACUAUCACCAUAAGCUUUCGCGCUGCCCCACAGCAGUGCUGCCCUUGCCCAGAUGUGGGUACCCCCAAGCCUUAGCGAGUUGAGAGUUAAGAGCGCGGGAAGAAGAAGAACGCUUUGCAGAAAGGGUCUUUGUUCUAUGGCUUUUGUGACGCUCGCUCUUGUAACUCAAUGAUUUUUAUGACGGAAGAACUUACGAAAUUCUUAUCCUGUAAGGUGUCCCGCUUUAUGCAUGUUGAAGCACCUAAAUCAUUUAGCUUGAAUUUGCCUCACUUUCUUCUAUGAAUUUCAAAGUAGAAAGUCACUAUACAUUUAUUUCUUGUAGUAUUACACAACAACAUUGAUAUAAGGAUGAAUUAAAAGGCUUUCGAUAUUAACCACCUGCACAGAUCAAGACCUCCUGAACACCAAUGAAGCGACCAAACGAUGGAUCCAGUUGUGGCACGACAAGAUAUGAUGAUUUGUACCAAAUUUUGGUUUUCCUUGUGCACUGUCAGUUCUCAUGCAAUAAAAGCAUCCUAUGCAA
Molecule: long non-coding RNA, 806 nt
Organism: Macrobrachium nipponense
Lineage: Eukaryota; Metazoa; Arthropoda; Malacostraca; Decapoda; Palaemonidae
Exons: 3
Source: RefSeq, a predicted model, not a curated record